GAUGAACGCUGGCGGCGUGCCUAAUACAUGCAAGUCGAGCGAACGGACGAGAAGCUUGCUUCUCUGAUGUUAGCGGCGGACGGGUGAGUAACACGUGGAUAACCUACCUAUAAGACUGGGAUAACUUCGGGAAACCGGAGCUAAUACCGGAUGAUAUUUUGAACCGCAUGGUUCAAAAGUGAAAGACGGUCUUGCUGUCACUUAUAGAUGGAUCCGCGCUGCAUUAGCUAGUUGGUAAGGUAACGGCUUACCAAGGCAACGAUGCAUAGCCGACCUGAGAGGGUGAUCGGCCACACUGGAACUGAGACACGGUCCAGACUCCUACGGGAGGCAGCAGUAGGGAAUCUUCCGCAAUGGGCGAAAGCCUGACGGAGCAACGCCGCGUGAGUGAUGACGGUCUUCGGAUCGUAAAACUCUGUUAUUAGGGAAGAACAUAUGUGUAAGUAACUGUGCACAUCUUGACGGUACCUAAUCAGAAAGCCACGGCUAACUACGUG
Molecule: ribosomal RNA, 497 nt
Filed under: uncultured bacterium
Lineage: Bacteria
Description: partial 16S ribosomal RNA
Rfam family: Bacterial small subunit ribosomal RNA
Source: RNAcentral